GUUGCAGAAGCAGAGGCGUGGGCUCCGUUGUUAUAGUGUAACUAAACUGAAGUUCAGGGUUACUAUGCUGUGAUAAGAAGGAAAUGCAACUUUUUAAAAUUCUACACUUUACAGCUAAAUACAGUUUUAUAUGCAGAGCGGAUACUAUAACAAUUAUUUUAAGUCAGUUUCUCCAAAAACUGAAAUUGAAGGCCUUGGGCGGAAAAAAAGAAACUUGAGAACACCUUGACCAGAACUGAAUUAUCCAGAAGCCGGUAAGCCACUGACUAACGCACAUUGUGUCUCUUUGCGUUCCCACUGUGCGUGUGACAGCGGCUAACCAGCCUCUCGGGCAGCGCUCCCGGACCCGUGCCCGCGCCUGCGCCUUGAUCGACAGAGAGAAAGCGAAAGCAGAGCGAGCCUCAGGAGGAGGAGGAGCAGCAGCCCACGGAAACCUGGACAUCUUCAGCACAGCCAUGGCAAGUGCGAGUCGAGGAGGCAGCAUGAAUCAUCAUCCUAAUAAUCAUUUCCCUCAAGCCCUUCCCUAUUACUUCCAGUAACGCUUCUGCGUCGUCAUUUAAGUACGUAGUGCUGAUUACCUUGUGCUGUUUCUCAAAUUGUGUGCAUUCAGUAUGGGAAUCGCUACACAGAGGGAGGAAUGUCAUAACAUUUUAUGAAGUGAGUUUGAUGGACUGAAUGGUCUGUUCUUGCUUCUUACACUUCUUAUGUUCCGACUACAUAAGAGCAGAGCUUGAGUCCUAUAAAACAUUAUAGUGGGCUUUGAGCUGUAGGGUUUGUAAUGUCGUGUCAUAAUUCGGGUUGCAUCUUAUUAGCGCUUAGCAACCCAAUGACACUUGGUAGUUUUUUAUUUGUAUAAAUUAAAAACCGCAAUUGGAAAUUCAACUUCACACUCCUAAUAUACUGUGUCGUGAUGAUUCCUACUAAUAAGCCACCAAAGUCAAACAGACCAAUCAGAUUCCUUGGAGGGACCAGAAACGCACACACAGUAGUGUUUUAUUAUAUAGAACAAGACAGUGGGGUGUCCAGUUCUGAUCCUGGAGGGCCACGGUGGCUCAAGGUGCCACUUUCUUAACCAGUGACUAAUUUCUGCUUUUCCCCCUUCAUUUUAAUGGCCGUGUUUUUUUUUUAAAGACUCAGAAUUGCUUCUUUCCUCCUUAAUGUUAGCCACACCAAAAUGAAAUGUGAAGAGGAACAACGGAUGAUUAGAGUCUCAAACUCCAACCAUUUUCUUAAUUGGAAGCGGAUUCUUGUUGUUAAUUAAAACCAUUAUUCAAUUCCCUAGCUUGUGCAUGUUCAUUCUUCCACAGAAGACAUUACCAAACUGUUGCUUUCCUUUAUUCUAAGAGCACUGUUAAAAUGUUUUGUGGAUGGUGGAAGAUCAACGUUACUGAGACCUUCAUCUUUAUUUAUUUUUAAAUAUUGUUUGAUGAGCACAAGUUGGCUUGUUUUGUACCCCAUUAUUGUUUGACUGCUAAAUAAGGAGAAAAGAAACAAUUAAGGAGCCAGAGUUGUAAAUGUUGUAAAUGGGCCAUGUUCUGUGCCUCUGUUGUUGAGGCAGCUGACCGGAGCUGUGGUCGGUGCCUAUCGUGGCGGCAAGCCCCGAACCCGUUGGUGGACACCGGCAGUGAGGGAUGCCAUCAAGCUGAAGGAGUCCUACCGGUCCCUUUUGUCCUGUGGGACUCUGGAGGCAGCUGAUAGGUACUGGCAGGCCAAGCGGAAUGCGGCUUUGGUGGUUGCUGAGGCAAAAACUCGGGCGUGGGAGGAGUUUGGGGAGGCCAUGGAGAACGACUUUCGGACGGCUUCAAGGAGAUUCUGGUCCGGCGUCUCAGGAGGGGGAAGCAGUGCAGUGUCAACACUGUAUAUGGUGGGGAUGGUGCGCUGCUGACCUCGACUCGGGACGUUGUGGGUCGGUGGGGCGAGUACUUCGAAGACCUCCUCAAUCCCAAUAACAUGCCUUCCAAUGAAGAAGCAGAGCCUGGGGACUCGGAGGUGGGCUCCCCCAUCUCUGGGACUGAGGUCACCUAGGUGGUCAAAAAAACUCCUUGGUGGCAGGGCCCCAGGGGUGGAUGAGAUACGCCCAGAGUUCUUCAAGGCUCUGGAUGUUGUAGGACUGUCUUGGUUGACGCGCCUCUGCAACAUCGCAUGGACAUCAGGGACAGUGCCUCUGGAUUGGCAGACCGGGGUGGUGGUCCCCCUCUUUAAGAAAGGGGACUGGAGGGUGUGUUCCAACUACAGAGGGAUCACACUCCUCAGCCUCCCUGGAAAAGUCUAUUCAGGGGUCCUGGAGAGGAGGGUCCGUCAGAUAGUCGAGCCUCGGAUUCAGGAGGAACAGUGUGGUUUUUUAGUCCUGGUCGCGGAACAGUGGACCAGCUCUACACCCUUAGCAGGGUCCUGGAGGGUGCAUGGGAGUUUGCCCAACCAGUCUACAUGUGUUUUGUGGACUUGGAAAAGGCGUUCGACCGUGUCCCUCGGGGAAUCCUGUGGGGGGUACUCCGAGAGUAUGGGGUACAGGACCACCUUAUAAGGGCUGUUCGGUCCCUGUACGAUCGGUGCCAGAGCUUCGUCCGCAUUGACGGCAGUAAGUCAAACCCGUUUCCAGUGAGAGUUGGACUCCGCCAGGACUGCCCAUUGUCACCGAUUCUGUUCAUAACUUUUAUGGACAGAAUUUCUAGGCGCAGCCAGGGUGUUGAGGGGGUCCGGUUUGGUGGACUCAGGAUUGGGUCACUGCUUUUUGCAGAUGAUGUUGUCCUGUUUUGCUUCAUCAGGCUGUGAUCUUCAGCUCUCUCUGGAUCGGUUCGCAGCCGAGUGUGAAGCGGCUGGGAUGAGAAUCAGCACAACCAAAUCCGAGAUCAUGGUCUUCAGCCAGAAAAGGGUGGAGUGCCCUCUCAGGGUUGGGAGCGAGAUCCUGCCCCAAGUAGAGGAGUUCAAGUAUCUCGGGGUCUUGUUCACGAGCGAGGGAAGAAUGGAGCGUGAGAUCGACAGGCGGAUCGGUGCUGCAUCCGCAGUAAUGUGGGCUCUGAAUCGGUCUGUCGUGGUGAAAAAGGAGCUGAGCCGCAAGGCGAAGCUCUCAAUUUACCAGUUGAUCUAUGUUCCUACCCUCACCUAUGAUCAUGAGCUAUGGGUAGUGACCGAAAGAACAAGAUCGCGAAUACAAGCGGCUGAAAUGAGUUUCCUCCACAGGGUGUCUGGGCUUUCCCUUAAAGAUAGGGUGAGAAGCUCAGUCAUCCAGGAGGGGCUCAGAGUAGAGCCGCUGCUCCUCCGCAUCGAGAGGAGUCAGAUGAGGUGGCUCGAGCAUCUGAUCAGGAUGCCUCCUGGACACCUCCCUGGUGAGGUGUUUCGGGCACGUCUAACCGGGAGGCGGCUCCGGGGAAGACCCAGGACACGCUGGAGGGACUAUGUCUCUCAGCUGGCCUGGGAACGCCUUGGGAUUCUCCCGGAAGAGCUAGAAGAAGUGGCCGGGGAGAGGGAAGUCUGGGCAUCUCUGCUCAAGCUGCUGCCCCCGUGACCCGACCUCGGAUAAGCGGAAGAGGAUGGAUGGAUGGAUGGAGUUGUAAACAACUAGUCGGUUAGAGUUAACGGAUAUGAGGGGGCCUGAGCAUAUCCCAGCAGGACAAGAUUUAUGCACAACCUGGCACAUGUGCAGGAAUAUCUGACCUGCAUGUUUUUUGUGGAUGUGUGAGAGGAACCCAUGCAGACAACAAAAACAAUAAUUGAUUCCCUGUACAGCUCAAGUCACACAAGGAUUUCCUAAAUGGACUUAAACAGGCCCUGUUUUUGACAGCCCCCCAGCCUUGAUUCUCUAAGACGAUGAGAAGAAACUCCAAAAAACUUUAUAAGAAAAAAAAUGGAAAUCUUAGGAAGGGCAAUUAGGAGACCCUAAUCCAGGUAGGAUGGGCAUACAAUGGGGUAAAUACAACACCCAAAUGAGAACAGAAGUAAUCCUCUUCACAGAGCUAGAUCGCCAAUUUAUCAUGGUCACCUCAGAAAUACAACACAACAGUACAAACUACUUUGCUCUUGCACAGCAGUUCUCACCAAGUGCAGGCACAGAACGAGGUGACAACUCUCAAGGCAAAAUGCAAUUCUAAAACUCAAUAAAUACACAGCUAUCACAUAUGAUACAGAUUUGUUCAAAUAUAUCAAAAUCAAAGUAGAAACAGAUUAACAUAAGUGAAAAACAAAAAUAUCUGUCCAUCAGUAAAUCGUAGAAUCACAGCCAGAUUGUAGAAAAGGAGUCCGAGACGACAGAGUCCUGGAGACCUCCGCCAACAAGCUGUGUCCCUCCUAUUGGCCAUCCUACAGCUGAGUCAGUGCUUGGCUGGCCAAUCAGAUGGAAGGACCCUCCUACCUAAUGAUCCCAGUUCUCCUUUAUCAGAGAUGACAUUUCAAUAGGCAGUAAAGUAGUGGCACCCAGUGCCACAUGAAACCUGGGAAGAACUGCACAAACAAACAUCGGGCAUGAAAUUGGAAAAGCAAAACACUAAAUCCAAGUUGUGCCACUCCUAUUUUGGAAUAAGCACUAUUGUAAAGAUGAAUUCAUACCAACACAGGAGAAACCUGUCAUGGCUUCACAGAAAAUGGGUAUCUGCUAUGCUAUAACAACUUCAAUCAUUCAUUUUCCCAACCCAUGUGUUCUAAAACAGGGUUGUUGGAGGUGAGAAACCAUCAUGGCAACAUCCAAAGCUGGAUGGUACUGUAAUCCAUCACAGGACCAAUACCAACCAAUUAUUUUAGAAUAACUCGAAGAUCAGCCUAACUCAUCUGUCUAUGUAUUUGUCAAACUCCCAUAUAGUAUCUAUAUAUCUAACAAUCAUAUUGUGCCUUCCGUAUCUAUCAGUCUAUCUGUCCGAGUCAUGCUUAUAGUAUUAUAACACACUGCAGGGGUUAUCAAAGAUGUUCUCCUGUGAAUGGAAAACAAGUAGGAGUGGCAAGAAAGAGUGACAGUGCAAUACAAAUAUAGCAAACACAGUCUGAGUCAAGCUGAAGGAGAUUUCAGGCCUAUGAAGCACACCUUGUCUUGAUCUCUACUCAUUUUGUCCCCACCCUCUAAUCACACCACCAACUGUCCUCUAUCAUGACUGACAGCUACUGUCAUUCGGACUGCUUUGGUAUGCUGCUAGGUGUGUCCAGCUUCAAUCUCUUUCAGUCAGAUAUCCUUACCCUUGAGUCAAUUUAGAGUUGUCGACCAACCUAAUGUAAGGUAUUUGAGAUAUGGGAAGGAAACUGGACCACUGGAGAAAACCAGCAAAGCAGUGGUGAAAUGGAGACUUAAUGGGUCUUCUGCAAUUAGAAUUCUAACUUUUAUGUAUGGUGGUUAUUUCCGAUAAGGAAUACAGAUGUUUUUGAGUAAGGAACAGAAGUUUCAAGGUAAGAUUGUUAUUCUUGCUAAUCAUGACGCUGGAGAGUGGCAACUAGUAAUGAGCGAACCCCAUACAGCACGGGUGUCAAACUCUUUUUUUUUUUUUUUUUUUUUUUCUUUUGCCUUAAUUUUAAUUAACUUGACUCAGGUGCCUUUGUUGUUUCUUUUUCCUUAAUUAGCAGCCAAAGAAUAAUGAGACACAAAACGAGCUGCCCACACGACCAGCUAUCCACAAUAUCUAGAAAUAAAGAAAGGUGAAGGCCUCAGUAAGGUUGAUCUCUCAGAUCACCAAAACAUUUUGACGAUGUUCUUAGAAAAAACAGAAAAUCAACAAUUUUGGAAAUGUCUGAUGUGGCAGAAUGAGAGCAGCAACAAGCCAUGGAAUUAAAGAACAAGUUUAAUUAACAGCAAGAAUCAGCUUCUCAUUAAGAAACUAGUUGGAGUGAAAUUGGUUGGAGUUUGAAGACCCAAUUUAGCUUGUCAUCUGUUGUCUCGUUUCACAUCUAAUUUCUGUUUGGCUGCCAUUUAAUGAAGAAAGGAAUCAAUUCAGAGGACUGAAUCCUUAAAAACAGGGCUAUUAAAACAAAGGGCAAAUGAGUUAAUUAGUGAAAACUGGUCACUGAUUAGGAAAAGGGUUAGAAUGAAAACCUGCAGCCCUCCAGGCCCAGAGUUCAAUACCCCUGCCAUAGAGCAUGGGUGUCGAACUCCGGUCCUGGAGGGCCGCAAUGGCUACAGAUUUUCAUUCUAACCACCUCCUUAAUUAGUGACCAAUUUUUGCUGCUAAUUAACUUCUUUUGCCUUAGUUUUAAUUAACUUGACUCAGGCCCCUUUAGUUGUCUCUUUUCCUUCAUUAGCAGCCAAACACUAAUUAGACACAAAACGAACCGCCACGUGAGCAGCUAACCACAUUAUCUGAAAUUAAAGAAAGAUCUCUCAGUUCACCAAACAUUGUGAUGGUGUUCUUAGAAAAAACAAGAAAAUCAAAAGUUUUGGAAAUGUCUGCUGGAGCAGAAUGAGAGCAGAAUUAAAUAAUGGGUUUAAUUAACAACAAGAAUUGGCUUCUCAUUAAGGAAUUGGUUGGAGUGAAAUUGGCUGGAGUUUGACGCUCCAGUUCAGCUGUUGGCUCGUUUCACAUCUCAUUUCUGCUUGGCUGCCAUUUAAUGAAGAAAAGAAUCAAUUGAGAGGACUGAAUCCUUAAAAACAGGGCUAUUAAAAUGAAGGGAAAAGGAGUUAAUUAGCAGUGAAGAAGCUUUUGAUUAUGAUUAAGAUCAAGGUUUAAGCCUUAUUAGUUCGUGACAACUCCGUGACAGAUGAACACACGUUUAGCAUUUUUGGUAACCUUUUAUAGUUUAGGUACUGCAAAAACACAUCUAUUACUCAUUUCCUCUUAUGUAACAAGACCCUAACAAAAGCUUCUUUUGGUCUGCAUAACGCUCUACUAAUGUUUAAUCGUUAUUCAUGUCUGUGUUGUGUGGUAUAUUGACAUGAUGUUAAAACUACUUGCUGAUAUGAAGGAUUCACUGGUCUUAUACUAAAUACGUAAUAUCAAGAGAAAUGCCUCUCCCUGAAGCCGCCUCAGACCAUUCCAAAAUGACGUUUUGUUAAUAGGUUGCAUUGCAGAGAUGAAUAAACACUUCAUUGGCGCUUUGGAAGUGUUAUGAAGACCCAAAAAGUGUUAAAGGUCCUGUUACAUAAGAGGAAAUGAGUAAUAGGUACAUUUUUGUAGUACCUAAAGUGUUAUUGGAUUAUUAUGAGCAGUGUUAAAACCAAAAUGGUGGCGUCAGAUCAUUGUCUGUGUAGAGUUAGCAGGUGUUCCUCAAUAUGCCCUGUUUUUCUUCUUCAUUACCCAAAGACUGAAUUGUUAGUUUAUUGGGGACUCUAAAUUGGUCCAUCAUGAGUGAUUUUGCCCUAUGAAGGACUCGUGCCCAAUUUGAGGGUUGGCAAAUACUAUGAAGAGUGCUAUAUGAAGUAAACAUUGACUGGUUGACACUUGGCGUGCUUACAUGUGCUUCAAUAACCUGAUUAUUUACGGAAACCUGAUUUCUAAAAUGUCAUGUAAAUCCUUAUUCAAAAUAGAGAAAUCAGGUUAUUGGACUCUGAGAAACCUUAUUAACAGAGUUGGAUUACUCUGGAAAUAAUCCAGUUAUGUGGGAAUGUAAUCCCUUACCCGGGUUACUGUGAAGGAUUUUGUAGUCAUGUACAUUUCCACUGCACUCUGUUCGCCUGAUUAACUUUGCAUACGUUUUUAGCAGCCAUGGGUAUAAGCAUCCACAAAUUAAUGCAAUUCCAUGGGCUAAUGUUUGGGUGAAAUAAUCUCAGUUUUUCGGAAAAAUCUGAAAUUGUGUUGAUGAGUUGAACAUACAGUGCUAAACUUAGCAAAAGAAUCACGAGAGCAGUAGGGCAACACAUUAAAAGAAACUUGCGUUACGUAGUCUGAUUUCUUAGUAUAGUAACGAGUAACCUAACGCAAAGCUAAACUUCUUGAAGUAUAAAUACCUGCAACAUUGUUAUUCCAGUGGCACUGGAUGUAAGGUUAAGAGAGCACUUACUGGUAUGGCGGUCCUUUGCAGGGCUCAAUCACACGGCCUAGCAGAACAAAGUGUAAUCCGCUAACAGAAACCUAUAUAUAAAGCGUCAAUCUGAAUUAACAUAUCUAUUAUUAAAAAAAAAAAAAAAAAUCUUGGAAAGGUAAA
Erpetoichthys calabaricus (reedfish) is the source of this 8052-nucleotide long non-coding RNA. RefSeq lists it as uncharacterized. The transcript is spliced from 2 exons. The record is from RefSeq and is a predicted model, not a curated record. Lineage: Eukaryota; Metazoa; Chordata; Cladistia; Polypteriformes; Polypteridae.